UUUUUGGAGAGUUUGAUCCUGGCUCAGGAUGAACGCUGGCGGCGUGCCUAAUACAUGCAAGUCGAGCGGGAGAAUCAUCCUUCGGGAUGAGGAUCCAGCGGCGAACGGGUGAGUAACACGUGGGCAACCUGCCCGCAAGACCGGGAUAACUCCGGGAAACCGGGGCUAAUACCGGAUAGGCCAUUUCCCCGCAUGGGGAAAUGGGGAAAGGCGGCUUCGGCUGUCACUUGCGGAUGGGCCCGCGGCGCAUUAGCUGGUUGGUGAGGUAACGGCUCACCAAGGCGACGAUGCGUAGCCGACCUGAGAGGGUGAUCGGCCACACUGGGACUGAGACACGGCCCAGACUCCUACGGGAGGCAGCCGUAGGGAAU
Molecule: ribosomal RNA, 371 nt
Filed under: Thermoactinomyces vulgaris
Lineage: Bacteria; Bacillati; Bacillota; Bacilli; Caryophanales; Thermoactinomycetaceae
Description: bacterial SSU rRNA
Rfam family: Bacterial small subunit ribosomal RNA
Source: RNAcentral